RNAcentral lists this ribosomal RNA (1503 nucleotides) under uncultured bacterium. RNAcentral's name for it is "bacterial SSU rRNA". It matches the Rfam family "Bacterial small subunit ribosomal RNA". The record is from RNAcentral.
CCAGGACACACAUGGGCGAAUGAAUUCCCGGCCGCGUUAUCGCCCUUAGAGUUGAUCCUGGCUCCCGAUGAACGUUGGCGGCGUGCUUAACACAUGCAAGUCGAACGAAGCACCUUGAUUCGAUUCUUCGGAUGGAGAUCUAGGUGACUGAGUGGCGGACGGGUGAGUAACGCGUGGGUAACCUGCCUCAUACAGGGGGAUAACAGUUAGAAAUGACUGCUAAUACCGCAUAAGACCACAGCACCGCAUGGUGCAGGGGUGAAAACUCCGGUGGUAUGAGAUGGACCCGCGUCUGAUUAGGUAGUCGGUGGGGUAACGGCCUACCAAGCCAACGAUCAGUAGCCGACCUGAGAGGGUGACCGGCCACAUUGGGACUGAGACACGGCCCAAACUCCUACGGGAGGCAGCAGUGGGGAAUAUUGCACAAUGGGGGAAACCCUGAUGCAGCGACGCCGCGUGAGCGAUGAAGUAUUUCGGUAUGUAAAGCUCUAUCAGCAGGGAAGAAAAUGACGGUACCUGACUAAGAAGCACCGGCUAAAUACGUGCCAGCAGCCGCGGUAAUACGUAUGGUGCAAGCGUUAUCCGGAUUUACUGGGUGUAAAGGGAGCGUAGACGGAGUGGCAAGUCUGAUGUGAAAACCCGGGGCUCAACCCCGGGACUGCAUUGGAAACUGUCAAUCUACAGUACCGGAGAGGUAAGCGGAAUUCCUAGUGUAGCGGUGAAAUGCGUAGAUAUUAGGAGGAACACCAGUGGCGAAGGCGGCUUACUGGACGGUAACUGACGUUGAGGCUCGAAAGCGUGGGGAGCAAACAGGAUUAGAUACGCUGGUAGUCCACGCCGUAAACGAUGACUACUAGGUGUCGGGCAGCAAAGCUGUUCGGUGCCGCAGCAAACGCAAUAAGUAGUCCACCUGGGGAGUACGUUCGCAAGAAUGAAACUCAAAGGAAUUGACGGGGACCCGCACAAGCGGUGGAGCAUGUGGUUUAAUUCGAAGCAACGCGAAGAACCUUACCUGCUCUUGACAUCUCCCUGACCGGCAAGUAAUGUUGCCUUUCCUUCGGGACAGGGAUGACAGGUGGUGCAUGGUUGUCGUCAGCUCGUGUCGUGAGAUGUUGGGUUAAGUCCCGCAACGAGCGCAACCCCUAUCUUUAGCAGCCAGCGGUUCGGCCGGGCACUCUAGAGAGACUGCCAGGGAUAACCUGGAGGAAGGUGGGGAUGACGUCAAAUCAUCAUGCCCCUUAUGAGCAGGGCUACACACGUGCUACAAUGGCGUAAACAAAGGGAGGCAGAACCGCGAGGUCGAGCAAAUCCCAAAAAUAACGUCUCAGUUCGGAUUGUAGUCUGCAACUCGACUACAUGAAGCUGGAAUCGCUAGUAAUCGCGAAUCAGAAUGUCGCGGUGAAUACGUUCCCGGGUAAUAGUACACACGGCCCGUCAAGGGCGAAUUCGUUUAAACUAACCAGGACGAGUCCCUUUAGUGAGGUAAUUCUGGCUGUAGUCUGG